AGGGUUAUCAACCAACUCAUAAUCGCUUGGUCGCUGGUUCAAGUCCAGCAGGGGCCA
RNAcentral lists this transfer RNA (57 nucleotides) under Caudoviricetes sp. RNAcentral's name for it is "tRNA-Met". The record is from RNAcentral. Lineage: Duplodnaviria; Heunggongvirae; Uroviricota; Caudoviricetes.